ACGAACGCUGGCGGCGUGCUUAACACAUGCAAGUCGAGCGAUGAAGCUCCUUCGGGAGUGGAUUAGCGGCGGACGGGUGAGUAACACGUGGGUAACCUGCCUCAUAGAGGGGAAUAGCCUUUCGAAAGGAAGAUUAAUACCGCAUAAGAUUGUAGUACCGCAUGGUACAGCAAUUAAAGGAGUAAUCCGCUAUGAGAUGGACCCGCGUCGCAUUAGCUAGUUGGUGAGGUAAAGGCUCACCAAGGCGACGAUGCGUAGCCGACCUGAGAGGGUGAUCGGCCACAUUGGGACUGAGACACGGCCCAGACUCCUACGGGAGGCAGCAGUGGGGAAUAUUGCACAAUGGGGGAAACCCUGAAUGCAGCAACGCCGCGUGAGUGAUGACGGCCUUCGGGUUGUAAAACUCUGUCUUUGGGGACGAUAAUGACGGUACCCAAGGAGGAAGCCACGGCUAACUACGUGCCAGCCGCCGC
This 473-nucleotide ribosomal RNA is filed under the name uncultured bacterium. Its description in RNAcentral is "bacterial SSU rRNA". It matches the Rfam family "Bacterial small subunit ribosomal RNA", at positions 29 to 518 of the family's 1533-position model. The record is from RNAcentral.